AGCGAACGUUUGCGGCGGGCUUAACACAUGCAAGUCGAACGGGCUGUUCCUUCGGGGGCAGUCAGUGGCGCACGGGUGCGUAACACGUAGGUAAUCAACCCUCUGGUUGGGGAUAACACUUCGAAAGGAGUGCUAAUACCCGGUAUGGCGCAGCGGUCUUCGGAUCGCGGCGAGAAAGACCCGCAAGGGUUGCCAGAGGACGAGCCUGCGGCCCAUCAGCUAGUUGGCGAGGUAACGGCUCACCAAGGCGAAGACGGGUAGCUGGUCUGAGAGGAUGAUCAGCCACACUGGAACUGAGACACGGUCCAGACUCCUACGGGAGGCAGCAGUGGGGAAUAUUGCGC
Molecule: ribosomal RNA, 344 nt
Filed under: uncultured bacterium
Lineage: Bacteria
Description: bacterial SSU rRNA
Rfam family: Bacterial small subunit ribosomal RNA
Source: RNAcentral